GAUGAACGCUAGCGGGAGGCCUAAUACAUGCAAGUCGAGCGAGAAGGUUUUUUCGGAAACUGGAAAGCGGCGAACGGGUGAGUAACGCGUACGCAACUUACCCCUGAGUGCGGAAUAGCCCUGGGAAACUGGGAUUAAUACCGCAUGGUUAGUAGACCUGGCAUCUGGUUUACUAUAAAGCUUCGGCGCUCAGGGAUAGGCGUGCGUUCCAUUAGCUAGUUGGUGAGGUAACGGCUCACCAAGGCGAUGAUGGGUAGGGGCGUGAGAGCGUGGCCCCCCACACGGGUACUGAGACACGGACCCGACUCCUACGGGAGGCAGCAGUAAGGAAUAUUGGACAAUGGACGGAAGUCUGAUCCAGCCAUCCCGCGUGCAGGAUGACGGCGCUACGCGUUGUAAACUGCUUUUGACAGGAAGAAACGCCUGAAUUUUAAUUGGGCCUGACGGUACUGUAAGAAUAAGCACCGGCUAACUCCGU
RNAcentral lists this ribosomal RNA (478 nucleotides) under uncultured bacterium. Its description in RNAcentral is "bacterial SSU rRNA". It matches the Rfam family "Bacterial small subunit ribosomal RNA", at positions 28 to 506 of the family's 1533-position model. The record is from RNAcentral.